This 253-nucleotide ribosomal RNA is filed under the name uncultured bacterium. RNAcentral's name for it is "partial 16S ribosomal RNA". It matches the Rfam family "Bacterial small subunit ribosomal RNA", at positions 524 to 776 of the family's 1533-position model. The record is from RNAcentral.
GACAGAGGUGCCGAGCGUUAGGCGGUAUCACUGGGCUUAAAGGGUGCGUAGGCGGCUUUGCAAGUUGGGUGUGAAAGCCCUCGGCUCAACCGAGGAAUUGCGCUCAAUACUGCCGAGCUUGAGAGAGACAGAGGUAAGCGGAACUAAUGGUGGAGCGGUGAAAUGCGUUGAUAUCAUUAGGAACACCGGUGGCGAAGGCGGCUUACUGGGUCUUUUCUGACGCUGAGGCACGAAAGCCAGGGGAGCGAACGGG